CCAAAUACACAACAUCAAGGGCACGCCGCAGCAUCCCUUCGCUCUGCUCUCUUCCUCCUCCUCACUUAUACUUCACGAUUACCACCUACACACACACACACACAGCCUAUUCACAGACCCACGCACGUCCUUCUCUUCACCCCACGUGUGCAGUGGGGUUCUCUUUUAUCAUUCUUAUGCAGCUGAAGUGCUCUCCGUGCUUACUGCGAGCAGUCCACGAAGAUCAGAAGACCCCUUCCUUUCCCUCGCAUAUAUUUUUCAGUCGGUGUGUGGGCUUGUGCGGCGUUGCCAUGGGCAUCCGUAGCAUCUCGCGUCGCGGGUGUCGCGGCAGUCAGCUGCGGUGCAGUCUUCUCUGUAGCAUUGCGGCUGCCGUCGCGGUGCUUGCCAUACUCGCAAGCGUCGCCACACAACCCGUUCUGGCUGAGGCGGAGGAUGAUGCGUCAUGGCAGCCGAUGGACGCCCGCGGCAGAGAAACGAUUGGUUCGAUGGCCCAUGCGCCCGCGGCACAUGUAGACGCAUCGCAUGCCCCAGCCACGGAUGACUCGCUUACGCCGGCCGGCUCUGUGCUGCACCGCGACGACGCAGCGUUGGGGGCACCAGAGCCCACGAGCAACCGGCAGGAGCGUUGCGAAGAAGCUGCAGGGCACUCUGCUGAGCUGUGCACGGACACGGUAUCAGCAGAUAGGGCUGCAGAGAGCGACAGUGUGUCGAGCUCUGCUCCUCGCCUCCCAUCAGAGGCCUUGACGGACGAGUCUGUCGUGGUGGAGCGCCACUGGUCUGAGCCGCCGCCGCCGCAACAGGGUGUGCCGAGCCAAGCACCGCCGCACGGUGCCCAGUACAGCGGCGAAGGAAGAGGUUGGCAGCUUGAGCAGCAGCAGCAGGCAAGAGAGCCGACGGACACUAUGUCAUCAGCUAUUUCCACAGACGGCACGGGUGCCCUGUGCGCGGAUGACGCACCUGCUGCAGCUCCGGCUAAAAAGCCCGCCACUGCUUCCAGCAGCGAUGUCGGUGUAACCGCUGCUUCUGCUAAUGCGGUGCCGGAGCUGAGAGCUUCUCAUCCUACACCGCCGCCCGAGGACCUUGCUACACCAGCGCGGUUAGAUGAGCCGCCCGCGUUCGAUGAGGCCGCCGCUUCCACCCUUGCAUGGGAGGAACGGGGCUCACUGGCAUCACAGCAACCACCGGCGGAGGUGCAAGAAACAUACGACGUGCCUCAGCAGUCAGCGGGCGAGGCCUCGGAUAGCGCCGCCGGAGGGACUGAGGCCUGGGAGGCUCACCCAAGCACCAUGCCAGACCGCGCAAGUGACGCCGCUCAGGUGGAGAACCAGACGCCCUUGCAGGGGAAUAGCCGGGAGCCGCACGAACACCAGCAGGUCACCUCUCUCCACUGUGACGCGCACACCACUGUACAAUGCAAGCCUGCGUGUGAGGCGGGGGAGGGACAGCAUGGGGCUGCCGCGGAGGCCGCGCAGCAGGAAGCCUCGUCAACAUCCACAGCCGAAACAACGCCCGCUUCGCUGGAAGCGCCGACGACGUGGUGCACCUCUGAAGGGCCGCAGCAGACAUGGGCAGCUCAAGCUCACGAGGGAAUGGAGGGCAAGGUGCCAUCGGACAGCGCUUCUGUCCCGGAGGCGCAGGAGCAACCAGCACCGGGGCACCAUAGAAUGCACCAGCAGCGGACCGGAGGCGGAGAGGCUGGGGGCGAUGGUGCCAAACAUAGUGCGGGUGACACUGCGGCUGAUGAUGAGGCUCUCGGCGGCACUGCGGGUGCCUCGGUGGAGGAGGUGCGGCCCACAGAGGUGCCACCGCCUGAAGCGGAGGAGUCGACUGCAGAGGAGCACGCAAGUGCGGCGGAGCCUGCCACGUACGCGGCGACUGCGGAGGCGUCCGAGACGGGAUGCUCUGUAGCGCCGUGCACCGACGACUCUCCGUCUCACGUCGUGAAAGCGGCGGCCGUUGUCACCAAGCAGGCACUUGCCGAGCGGCGCGCGAACGGCGACGGCCAAGGCGGCAGUGAUGUGCCGAUGACCUCUGAAGAAAACGGUGAAGCUGCGGCCUAUGCGCAGCCGACAGACGGCCAGACCGAACGCGGCGACGUCACUCCUGCAGCAGAUGUCGACACUAUCAGUCAUGAGGAGGGGGCGAUGAAGUCGGAGGAGGCGGUCACCCAGUUUUGGGAGGGGCCAGAUGACACUGCGGCUGCUACGGCUGAGAUUGCCUUUAAGGGGGAGGCAGAGGACGCUGUCAGCGGGGCUGCCGUUGAUCUGGACGAGGUCGAUGGUGAUGGGCUGAAAAAGGAUGAGGAGCAGCCUGUAUCCUCUUCAACAGCCUCUGCCACGAUCAGCGCGCCCAGUAGCAGCACCGCCGCGCGGUAUCAUCGUUACGAACACGAUGUGCUGCACCCUCCAUCCCCACCCCCGUCGCGACUCGCGCUGUCCUACCUCUACUACCACGCGCUGGAGGCGCUCUAUGUGAACGAGAACGUCACACUUUUCGUGCAGCGCGCCCGUGAUGUGGCGCCGUACGGACAUGCUCGGCUGAACUGGCUUCUCGGUGUGCUGCACGCCUACGGCAUCGGCGUCCCUCGCAGCGAGCGAGAUGCGCUCAUGUACUACUCCUUUGCUGCCAUGGAGGCUGUCCCUGAGGCACAUAUGGCGCUCGGGUACCGCUACAAGCUCGGCCUCGGUGUCGUGGCGAGCUGCGAGAGCGCGCUGGCGCACUAUCGCGAGGCGGCGGACGCGGUGGCUAUGACGUACGAUGGAACUGCCGCUGCCUCGGGCGGUGGCGCGGAACCGAUGACCGCUGGAGCGAAGACGGUUGGCAGCGGCAAGGGCGGCCGCAGCGGGUCGAUGUCCUUUUUCGCCUACCGCGACGACGCCGCCGUGUCUGACAUGCGCAAGCAGCGCCGGCUGGAUUUGAUUAGCCUCAAGUAUCAGGCUGACAUUGGCAACGUGGAUGCGCUGCUCACACUAGGGUACUUGCUCCUCAAGGGUGACUAUCAGGUGGUGCGCGAUGGCCGUCGCGCCGCCGCCUACUUUCAGACCGCAGCUGGAAAGGGUAGCGCACGAGCGCAUGGAGCGCUGGGCCAGCUGUACAUGGCCGGCGAUCCGUCCAUCAGCCCACCGCUGCUGCCCGACCUGCGGCGGGCCCUCCACCACUUCCGCCUUGGCGCUCUGCAGAACGAUGCGCUGUCCCUGAAUGGGAUGGGCUUCCUCCACGCUGUAGGGUACCUCUAUCAAGACAAGCAGCACAGCGCGACCGGCGCCGACAGCAACGGCGAGGCUGCGGCGCCGCCGUCGAACGGGCCGCCGGACUUCGCGACGGCGGCGCAGUACUUCUACCGCAGCCACUGCGCUGAGGGUCUGUACAACCUCGGGGUCCUUUUCCUGCACGGUCGCGGAGUGGCGCCAGACAAGAAGCAAGCACGUCGCCUCUUCGAAAGGGCGGCGAAGCAAGGUAGCGUGCUCGCGCAGUGGCAGCUAGCGAACAUGCUGAGCGAGGCCACCGAGGAUGGUGGCGCCUUACCGGCGGCAGAGUGCGAGCGGGCACUGGCGCUGUACCAGCGCACCGCGUCCUUUGGCACUUGGCAGCACCGCGCUCCAGGCAACCGCCACUCGGGUGGUAGAGCCGGCGUCGGCGCUGACAAUGCAGAUCUGCAGCGACAACCGCAGCGUCAUGGCCAGGUGAAAGGGAAGAUGGGUGCCGACGGAGACCGUGACGCACGGCUGUUGGAGGCGACGAGGUCCAAGCGCGUGCCAUCGCAUGAUGGCAGCGGAAGCGAGGACGAUGGGGACGGUGCCAACGACGGCGAUGCUACGGACCGUCUUUACGGCUUUGUGCGGCCGCGAUCGGAGGCUGAGUAUCAAGUGCUGCUCGCCGGCAUCCUUGACCGCCUGCACGCUGUGGAGGAGUCGCUGCUGUCGUCCGACGAGGAUGAAGGCCCGACCACUACGUCAUUGGCUUCCUUCGUUGAGCUGCUCAGCCUGGCGGAGACCGGCGACGCGGCCGCUUCCUGGUUGGCCGUCCAGUACGUGGACGACUACCUUGAGGUGGCGGACACGCCACUGCCACAUGGUAGGCACGCCAGUAAGAGCGGUGCGGUUCCUCUUUUCUGGCCUUUGACCGCUGCUCCAGGACGGACGCCGCAGUACCUCUCCGGCGAGGCGGCCGCCAGUGAGCUGCUCUACCAUCUGCUGCAGCGCACUGUGCUGCAUCACACACACACGCAUACCACACUCGGGGCUGCAUAUCUGCGCCUUGGCAACUUCUACUACUAUGGCGAGUCCCCACAGUACGGGGUGGACAUGGAGCGUGCACUGGCGUACUACCGCAUCGCUGGCGAUCACCAUCACAACGCGCAGGCACUCUUCAAUGUGGGCUUCAUGUAUCAGCUGGGUCUGCACAAGGCCCCUCGCGCAACGCGGGUGGUGCAGGGCAUGUCUGCGCAGGAGUUGAUGGAGCGUCCUGAAGUGCUGCGGCACUACACCAACGCUCCGGUAGGGGCCGAGUGGAAGGUGCAUUCGAACCCGCCCGAGUAUCUGCGGACAUCGCCGGCCUUCCACCUCACUCUCAAGGCCGCCGCAAACGCGUGGAACCGCGCCAGCGCAGACCCGAUGGCGCGAGGCGUCGACGUGUACCUCGCGUGGAAGUACUACACGGCUUCGCUUAGGCAAGAGGAGCGGGGCUCGAUGGCGGUGCAGUUCGCCUUGGCGGUGCUCAACGUGCAGUGGUCUCUGCGACACUUCGGCAUUUCUCGGCUGCUGCCGCAGUUGGGGUCGUCUGCGUCGCCUGCUGGUUCACCCUCGGCUUCUGCCCACUCGGCAUCCUCCAUGGCGGAGGCAGGGGCUGAUGAAGUUGACGACACGCUAUGGACCGGUGCGGGGGGCGCGCAUCGGGCUCAUCAGGGCAAGCGCGACGUCCUUCACGGGCCACUGGGCACGCUGACCACCACGAUUCAAGUGAUGUGGAACCGCCUCAUGGAGAACGCCGUGGACGCUUCGGGGACGAUGCUCUCAUGGUACAAGCCGUUGGAGGAUGCGGUGCUGUACGGCGCCAUUUCCGUGGUUGUCGUCGGACUUCUUGUUCGACAUCACGUGGCAUAGCAGCGUCCUUCUCUGCGUAUGCGUGCGUUGCUGAUGGAUGUGUGUGCGUGUGUGUCUGUGUGGUGGGAGCCGGCGGGGUGGCGGUGAAGACGCUGACGAAACUUACCGGGCGCCCAAGGACUUGAUCUUUCGCUGCCACUACACCUCCCCGAGCCCUCGUGCCCCGCUCUUUCUCUCUCCCCGCGCAUCGCGCUGCUUGGGCUUCUCUGCUGUUCAGGUGAAGGGCCGCUUCUCCUUUUUUACCUUCCGCUCAACUCGAUCAACCGGGCACAUACACAUGCAGUGCCAUUCACGGAUACGAAAAAGAAGGGAGGGCAAAGUACUCGGGUCCUGAUCGCCGGCUGCACGAUAGCCGGCGUGUGUGCCUGUGCGUGUGCCCGUACACGGCCAAGAGGGCACUCCCCUGCUAACACC
RNAcentral lists this unclassified non-coding RNA (5516 nucleotides) under Leishmania donovani. RNAcentral's name for it is "gene:LdHU3.07.0790(CDS-product:Sel1_repeat_putati ve)". Lineage: Eukaryota; Euglenozoa; Kinetoplastea; Trypanosomatida; Trypanosomatidae. The record is from RNAcentral.